AGGUGUCUGGAGUUCAGAAGUGUGAUUAUGGUGCCUGCCAUCACUGAAUUCCAGUUUAGAGGUGGAUUCAGUCAUGGAUGUGGUCAGCCUUCUCAGUAGAAUUCUCUGGUCAUGUUUUUGUGUAGAAUAAAAUAGGUGAAAAUCAAAAAAAAAAAAAGUCACAUCUAAUUGAAACUACACAUUUCUUUCAUGGCAAAGGUACAAGUCAGUGCCUUUUUGCAAUUUUUAGGAUCCAUCGUUUACAGCCAUAACAACAACAACAACAAUAUUUGUACUACAGUAGUGUCUAGGAAUGCUUGUCAUGGACCAGGAUCCCAUUGUGCAAGGUGUAAAUGAGGAUCGAUUAUGUACUGGAUAGCAUCUAUCCUUUGAUGCAGAACCGCCACUAGAAUGAAUGAAAUUAUGCACACACAACAAGGGCACACACAAAUUGGUAAUCUACUUGAAGUCAAUGGGAGCAUUGACAGUAGGACUAGGGCCAAAAUAAAAUAAAAUAAAAAAAUCCCUAAGUAUUACCUCCAAUUUUAUUCUUUUCUCAAUCACAAACUACAGCUCAGAACUCUUAUUAAAGGCCAGAGGUUUUAUGAAAAGCACUUUGAUAUUUUAAUUUGAAAAGUACAACUUUUUAUGGGGGAAGGGGUUUUCAAAUGUUAGUCUAAAAACACCUUGGGAAAGUGGUAAUAUUACAAGUUAACAAUUAUGUUAAAACUAUUCUUAAUGUGACAAGAGCACACAAAAUACUUAGGAAAC
This is a long non-coding RNA of Dermochelys coriacea (leatherback sea turtle), 750 nucleotides long. RefSeq lists it as uncharacterized. The transcript is spliced from 3 exons. The record is from RefSeq and is a predicted model, not a curated record. Lineage: Eukaryota; Metazoa; Chordata; Testudines; Dermochelyidae.